This 8411-nucleotide long non-coding RNA is filed under the name Citrus x clementina. RNAcentral's name for it is "Citrus clementina (C. clementina) long non-coding RNA (CCLE_LNC003599)". The record is from RNAcentral. Lineage: Eukaryota; Viridiplantae; Streptophyta; Magnoliopsida; Sapindales; Rutaceae.
CAACUCGUGCGGUUAUUGGGAGCACCGGUGAGUAUCACGGUCGUGUUCUCAUUAGCCAAAUUUGUGAGAGCUAUCAUUGUCUCUGGCUCAGUAGCAGAUGAGGCAUCAAGAAGAAAAAUGUGACUAAAAUGUCCAGCAGGUAUGCCCUCGUUGUGGAGGCGAAAGCUGCUUGUAAAAGUUGAGAAUAUUACCCUGAAUUGCAUCAAUUCCUGAAGUGAAGGCAAUUGAAAACCCUUCCCCUCUUCAUAAAGGCACGAGGGGAGGAUGUCAACUGGUACCCCAUCUACCUCUCUGAAUGCAGCGUUGGCUCGAAACAUAUCAGACUUUGGAAUCUUCUUCUUCAAACUUCUCAUUAGUACAUCACCUGUUCUAUUUAUAGGAGCACAGACUAGAAUUCGACACUGAGAUGACCUCUUAUAAAUUUCAAGUACUGCUUCUUGAACAACCAAUCCAGUUUUGGAUAGAUUGUCACUAGUUGCACAGAGUGGACCCUCUACAAGAUAAGGUGGGCUCCCAUGUAAGCUUAGGAUCCGACGAACUACAGAGUUGCCAUUUGAGUCAAGGUUACGAUUACCAUAAAGACAAGUUUCUGAGGAACUGAUGUUCUUUCGAGAGACAAAAUCGGGAAAAAGGUAGUUCUUAAAUAAAGAACGUGAUGCAGCUGCAAUUGCUUGGUGAGCUCGUUUCAAACAGACUCGGUUGAAUGAGAAGCUAAUAUCGUAUAUGUACUUUGGAUGAUGCAGUGAAUAAAAAUCUUCUUCAAACUCAACCAACACUACGUUGCUCUUCACCACCCGGUAUAGAAUACCCUGGACAGGAUUUGAGAAAACAAAUAUUCGGGAAAUUAAGGAGAUAUUUUCCGAAGAUAUUCAACCAGAAAAACAAAAUGUCUGGAUAUCCAAGGACUAGGAGACGCAUUACAUUUAACUUUUUAUGGAUUCUUUCAGGAUUAACCAGUUGCUAAUCAAUGAAUACUUUCUCUCUGUAUCACAUGACUGGGAAAAGAUAAAAUCAAUUCUGAAAAGGAAAUAACAUUGUUGGCUGAUGCUUUGUUGAGCCGCUAAACAGGCCGGAUGUCCUCAAACAAAAACUAUAACAUGAUUACACACCGGCCUUUUGUUCCUCAUCUAAAGUUCAAACUGAGCAAUAGUUUGCAUUAAGUAGGUUUGCAGAAUUUCAAAUGGCAUAAUUUAUAAAUUAUAUUGAUAGCUGCGACUAGAAUUAUAUUCCAAAAAAUUGAAAGCAUAAGGAGAAAGAAGCAUAAAAUAGAUUCUCAAUUUGGCAGAAGAUAUGAAUAUUUAUCACUAAAAGAGAUUCUACAAAUUAUUAGUUUGAAAGAUCAGGAUACUUACUUGAAACUUCUUGGAUUUGCCACCUGAACGUUGUGCAUAAACAAAAUCUCUAGAUAAAAGAAAGGGUCGCCUCUCAGGAACAGAAUUAAUUUCAAAGGCUACAAAGAGUUUAUCAUCCGUCUCAUCACUCUCCUCCAGAUUCUUGUUCUUGAGUGACUUAUCAUAUAUUGCUGCUUUAUGCAACUCCAAUGUGACAUUGAAUAACUGAAAAUCGCUCCACUUCUGAUCAAAUCAAAGCCAUUAUUAUAUCUAAACACAAUUAGGAAGUAUGAUAGAAAGCACUUGGAUGAAACUGUAAUGUUUUUGGUCCGUAGACGCAUCUUGCAUUCAAUCAUCUAAAACAUGUAAGAUUCCUAAAAAUCACUUUUGUACCAAAUAUUGUUAUCUUCUAUGAAGAGUCGAUAUGGGCUGUAUUUACAGAGUAAGUUGCAGCUAAAGCAGUCCACUAGGGCUGCCUAUCUCUGUUAAAUUGCCUACCAACACAAAAUGCACCAAGAUUAUCAAUAACAUUGGAAUGUUACUAAUUCGGUGCUUUGAUGUUUUUGCUUACUCGCAAAUCUAAACAGGCUUGUCUCGUGAAGCCUAAUUGGUAAAUCUAACGACAAACUGAGACACAGAUAUAAAAUAUAAAAUCAUGUAUCUCCAGUAAAACAUGUUUGAUGGUUGCUAAAUACAGCACCCAUAUGAUGUUUUAUCGUAUACAAGGUAAACUCAAACAUUCCAAAGGGGGUAGUAAUGCACUAAACACAACAAAUGUGUCUUCCACCGAACAGCCACAGUACACAAUAUACGAUUGGUAGCAAUGAAGUUAUGUAUAAUGUAUAUGUAUAUGCAUAUAAAUAGAUAUACAUGUAUAUUAGGAUUCUAUCAUUUUGAGGUCAAUCAUGAGGUAUGCAUGACCAAGAAUCAAGGGAUCAAAUUUGAGUGGAAUGAUAUAAUAUCAUAAGACAUUAAGUGGUCAUUGAGUAGAAAAUCACUCCAACAAUAGUUUAACCUUAUUUAGUGAUGAUUCACUACUCUUGUAAUGCUAUAAAUGAGAGCUAAUCCACGGAGAAAGGUAGAAGAGACAAGCUAGAGACAAGCCAUUGAGCUAAAGAGUGCAAUUUGAGAGAAUUUGAGCCAAAAUUUCAAACUUAGAGGGUUCUUGCAACGUGAUCUGAGGGGAUUGUCCGGUUUUGUGAUCAUCUUCCGACCAGAAGUCAGUAGCACAACCUUAGUUUGUCGAUUUACCGCACAUAAUCCGAGUAUGUAUCUAAAUUCGGAUUUUAUGAGUUUUAUGUGUAUUCUCGCUUGCAAAUAACACACACGAAAUGAUACUCUAAAGAAUAACAUGCAAAAAGGUCACUGUUAAUCAAUCACCUCAAUGUAGAAAUCCUCAGCGUACAGCAGAGCAGCAAAGUAGUCUUUGUAAGUCGAUGGAGACAAUGGCUUCUCCAAAACGUGAGGCACGAUGUCUUUCUUGAUCAAAUCUUCAAUAUCCUCAGGAAUCUUGUAAUUAGAGGCACCCUUCUCGACCAAUAUAUAGCGAUCAUUUUCCUGCUGAUAUUUUGAAUCAGGAGGAAGCGGAGAAAGGGUACGCAGAGAAGAUGAAGGCGCCUUCUGAGACAAUGGAUUCUUCAAAUCUUCAGGCUCAAUAUCUUUCUCGAUCGGACUUUCAAUAUCCUUGGGAUAGUUAGCUUUCAUCUGGUCCUCCGUUGGAUUAAAGCAGAAUGGGCACCGAGUGGGCUUAGAGGACUGAGGGGCUUUUGGGAAUGAUGCGCCCUUCGGAACCCGUGUAUUAUUAGAUUUCAUCUGCUCAUUUGUUGGAUUAAAGCAGAGUGGACACUGAGUGGGCUUAGAGGACUCAGGGGUGCUCGGGGAUGAUGAAGUUGGCACGGAGGGAGAUUGAGAUGGACCACAUGAAGAUGGAGAUUGCUUAGCAGAUGAUCGAGGUUGAUCAGAAGUAAGGGGAGGUGCCACGGGUGUAGAGAACGAGGAGCAUGCUUUAAAAGAAGGAAUUGAAGGUUUAGGACUAGAAGAUGAUGGUGGAGGUUCAGUUGGAGAUACGGAUGGCUUAGAAGAAACUGAUGCAGGUUUAGGGAGUGAUGGCUUAGAGGAAAAUGGAGGUUGUGAUGUUCUAUAUUUCAAUCUCGAGGACGCUUCAUCAGUUCCUUCCAUAAACUUGUUAACAUAUUCUGAUUCAAUAGACACAGCUCCACUCCUUUUUGUAGUUGAGCUACUAGUUGGUAAAUUCGGGUAAUAAUCGUAGUACUUGAUUUGGGUUCGAUCAGAUUGGUCUUGCCGAUCGUUAUUCUCAUAACUAGAAUUCCUAACAGAAGUGUUAAGUGAAGCUGAUCCGCGUGAAGGGUCUCCCUUCGAAGUCUUACUUUCAGUUCCAUGAUCUUGGUCGCUUGAAAUGUAUCGCAAAAUUUGACCUAACACACACCCUGCGCAGCCUAUGAACAUCCACUUAAACAUCCUGCGGCGAAAGCAAAAUAAAGAAGAUUGAACACCAUUAAAGAAAUCAAUAAACUCAUGCAUGACUCUGUAAGUGCUAGUAAGAUGAAACUAUCCUGAAAUCAAAAUAAGUGAAGAUCAAAAGCACGAUUGAUUACCUUCUGCUUUUUUGGUUACAGAUGAGAACACUGGAACACAACUACGCAAGUGGUUUUUGUCAAUUUGAUCUUCCUUUCCAAAGAACGAAUUACACAUGAAGUAAAGAGCACUCCAACACAACUCAAGAAUCAAAAAAGUUAAAAGCUUUGCAUGGGAGAUGAAAGCAUAUUGUUUCUUACAUAGAAAGAAAACUCAACCAAGUGAGGCCACGUCAUCAUGUGGACCCAGGUGCCAUUGUAGGCCUGUGCCUGUGUGCCUGUGUAGCAUAUAAAAAGGAAAAAAAGAGGGAAGUACAUUUAUUUAAGUUUUUUACAUAUUUAUUAUUGCUUUGUUAAAGCUUCUUUAUUAAAAUUUACUUUAAUUUAUUAAAGUUUACUUUGUAUAUUUAUGAUUACACUUAUUAAAGAUUUACUAUAUAUUUAUUAUUUUAAUAAAGUUUACUUUAAUUUAUUAUUACAUUUAUUAAAAUUUAUUUUGUAUAUAUGAUUACACUUAUUAAAAAUUUAUUUUAUAUUUAUUAUUAUUUUAUUAAAGUUUCUUUAAUAAAAUUUAUUUUAAUUUAUUAUUAUACUUAUUAAGGUUGCUUUAUCUUUAUUGUUGUUUUAUUAAAAUUACUUUAUUAAAGUUUACUUUAUUGCUUUGUGUUUGUUAAUUCUCGAAAAUAUGGACUUGAAAGAAGGAAACAUAGAAUUAUUCCACUUCUUUCAUUAAUCAUCUUCCUGCUCUCCCAACACCAAAAUCUAAAUUCUAGAUCUCUCAUAGCAACAUUCUCCAAAUCUUCAAUAGAGUUAGAAAUCUUAGUUAAUUUGGAAGCUUCUCGAUUUGGUGAGUCUUUAUUACUUAUGUUUUUAUUGUUUUGAAUACAUGCUUAACUAGUAAGUAACUUGAUUAGGAGAUUAUUAACAAAUCCCUUUGAUAAUAAUACUUUUGGUUUCUCGAAUUAAAUAUGCUGGAUUGAUCCUUCCGCAUGUAAAUUGUCUUUGAGUAGCUCUAGAAGAUACUAGACUUUACUUUGGUCUAGCAUUUUUCUUCUUUGCCAUAAAUAGAUUUAACCAAAACAAAAAAAGCACGCUCAAGAAUGCAGUCUUCUUUUGGUUUUUGUUUUUGCUUCUGUUGAUAUAUGUUCUGGAGAUUGGUCUAGCAAUCUGAACCAGAAUUCUCUCUCUGUUUGUCCGGACAGAUCUCACAGUUCUUUAAGACCAAAUGGGUCAUUUGCAUGAAUCUUUUCGUGCCAUUCCACUAUACUCCAGUGCAGAAUCCUCGUUUAUCUUCUAACAUGAUGUUCUUUGAGUAUUGAAUUUUCCUUUCUCGGUUCUUAUUCAUGUUCUUUUGGUGCUUUCCAUACUGGGUUAAUACUUUGUAGCAACCCAUUCCUUGUACAUCUUGUUCAAGUCCAAUCAAUCUCAAAUAGUUUUUCCAUUAUUUUCUUCUCAAUGCCACUUCAACCUACAUUUAAAACCAGUAUUGACUCUUUCCAUCCUCCAUGAGCACUUCAUCAAUACUGAACUCAAAGCUUGCAACUUUUUAUAGGAUUUGUUGUCCAUUUUUAUUAGAUACAACGGAUUUAAAAUGUUGCAAAACAAUACGUCAUCUCACCUACUACAAUGUGCCUCCAAUCUUAAUCAACCCUUUCUUGGUGUUGAGGGCUUUCUUUCUAGUAUAUCCCCCAUUCACACUUAGUUUGGGAUUGUUAAGAGAAAGCUUAUUAAGUGACUAUGAAGAUUAAAGAGUUUUGAGUUAAUUCCUUCUGCUUAUUUUAAAGGACUUGAAUGUUUAUGUUAGCAAUUCACAUUUCUAUCACCUCUGUUGUAUUAUCGUCUUUGACAAUAACAGGAGUAUAAAAAUUCAUAAUGCAGGUUGCAACAAAAAAGAAAACUAUUUCAGACGAAGCUACUGUAAUCUUGCAGGCAAAACUGAAGCAGUUAGCACCUGCUAGUUCCUCCUGAUUGCUGUAAUAUUUUAUUUAAUUAUUCAAUUUAUGGCUUCGGGAAAGAACUGCUUCGUAAAACUGUCAGUGUGAAACUUCAGGUCUUUUAUCUGCAUCAUAAGUCGAGUGCUUGUUUUUUUGUUCUUUGUUUCAUUCAGAAUCGGGGAUGGUCUUCUCAGCUGAAAUCAAAUCAGACUUGGAUGUAGGCAUUCAGAUAUAUCAAUGCUGACAUGUAAUACACAGUGGGACGAUACUUUUAUUACCUUUACAAAUUAGUUGCGGUAAUCAUGUUUUUCACAUUCUACCUCUUGCCCCACCUUGUUUCUUCUGGUUUUUCAAGUUGAAUAUGGUUACAUCAUUUCGUUUAUCUAUCCCUUGUUUUGCUUUGCUAUAUCAUUUAUAUUCAUGCCAACUGCUGGUAGUAUCAUUUGGAGACUAAGUAAAACAAAUUAGAAGGUUAGAGCUUCCAAAUUUGAAACAUUGUAUGUCAUGGUACAUCGGCUCUAAGCUGCUGCGUCAUGUCGUUCAAGCAAUCUCAAGGAUGGAGAGACCAAUCAAAUACAAGUACAAAAGCAACAGAUCGGAAGCAAUGUUCUUGCAUUCACACAAUUAUACGAAUUAGAAUUUAGGAUAAUAACAUAGAGAUAAAAUUUCGUCUCAAAGUUAAUAAAUCACCUCAAUGUAGAAAUCCUCAGCACAUAGUCGAGCAGCAAAGUAAUCUUUGUAGGUAGAUCAAGAAACAAUUACUUUUUCAAAACUUCAGGCUCAAUAUCUUUCUUGACCAGACUUUUAAGGAUGAUGAAGUUGGCAUGGUGGGAGAUUGAGAUGGACGACGUGAAGAUGGAGAUGGCUUAGCUGACAAUCGAGGAUGAUGAGAAGAAAAUGGAGGUGCUGCAAGUGAAGGCACAGAUUGACAAAAAGAAGAAGAUGCAGGCGUAGAGAGUGAUGAGGAUGUUUCGUAAGAAGGAAUUGAAGUUUUGGGACCAGAAGAUGAUGGGGGAGCUUCAGCUGGAGAUAGAAGUAGCUAAGAAGAAGCUAAUGCAGGUUUAGGGAAUGGUGGCUUAGAUUGAUGUGAUUUUGGUGAAGAUGGAGAUGGCUUGGAGAAAACUGAAGGGGUUAAUGUUGUAGAGUUCAAUCUUGUGGAAGCUUCAUCAGUUCCUUCCGUAGACUUGUUAACAUAUUCUGAUUGAAUAGACUUAGCACUGGAGGGGUUAAUGUUGUCAAGUCCAAGAUGAAACUAUCUUGACAUUACAAUAAAUGAAGAUCAAAAGCAAGAAUGAUUACCUUCUGGUUCUUUUACAGAUGGGAAUGCCCGAACAAGACUACAAGAGCUAUUUUUUCUUUUUUAAUUUUUCCCCCCUUUCCAAAGAACGUUUUAUGUAAAAGUAAAGAACCCAAGUCAAUCUCGAUAAUCCAACCAAAAGUUAAAGCUUUGCUUGAGAGAUGAGAGCAUAUUUGAUUCAUGCAAAUGAAGUAAACCCAAACAAGUGAGGCCACGUCAUCAUGUGGUUCCAGAUGCCAUGGCAGACACGACAUGUGGAAAAUAUAGAAAGACUGCAAGGCUCUUAUUAACUCCCACUUCCAUACUGCCAAAUGUUAUCCUUCUCGGGGAUUAAGAAAAAAUGAAUAAGAUGCCGACUUUUAAGAUAAGUCCAACCGGAAAGCUUAUUUUGGGGCACGAUUCUUAUUCUGAUUCACCCUCUUGCGGGUCCCUAAUCCGUAAUUAAAGAUAUAAAAGAUUCUAACAUCAAAACAUCAUUGCACCCAUCAGAAACAUGCCUCCAAAUCCAAUCUCAGUCGUCAAGAUAAUUCUACUGGCAAAAAUUGAAGUACACAAGUUCUAUUCUGAUAAUUACAACAGAACUAAUCUUUGUCGUAGCAUAAGAACAUAAUUAAUAAUCCAGAGAUGGAGUACUGUGACCUGCAUACAAUUUAUGAAGAUUUUAAUUUUUGUUAAUCUAGGGGAAUGAAAGCAAUCAAUCAUCGCGGAAUUGGACUGCAUGAAUUAGAUAGAGCAACAAGUGCAAAAGUAACGGAUCGAAGAAAUGUUCUGACAUUCACGCAUUUACAACAAGGCACAGUAGUAACAAACUCAUGAGAAGUAAACUAAGUUCUAAUAGAGGCUAUUGUUACCGCAGUACUCAAAAGUUUACAGCAUAGUAAUGAACGUCGGAUCGAAAUUGCUAUAGGUCUGGGUGGCAUGAAGUCUUUCAAAAUACGACACCCUUAAUCCCGUCUUCCUAGCAAUAUCGGAGCGGACCCAACUCGUGCGGUUAUUGGGAGCACCGGUGAGUAUCACGGUCGUGUUCUCAUUAGCCAAAUUUGUGAGAGCUAUCAUUGUCUCCGGCUCAGUAGCAGAUGAGGCAUCAAGAAGAAAAAUGUGACUAAAAUGUCCAGCAGGUACGCCCUCGAUGUGGAGGCGAAAGCUGCUUGUAAAAGUUGAGAAUAUUACCCUGAAUUGUAUCAAUUCCUGAAGUGAAGGCAAUUGAAAACAUUCCCCCCCUUCAUAAAGGCACAAGGGGAGGAUGUCAACUAGU